This 402-nucleotide ribosomal RNA is filed under the name bacterium. Its description in RNAcentral is "partial 16S ribosomal RNA". It matches the Rfam family "Bacterial small subunit ribosomal RNA", at positions 355 to 776 of the family's 1533-position model. The record is from RNAcentral.
UGGGGAAUUUUGCACAAUGGGGGAAACCCUGAUGCAGCGACGCCGCGUGAUUUAGAAGGCCUUCGGGUUGUAAAAAUCUUUUCUAUGGGAAGAAAAUGACAGUACCAUAGGAAUAAGGACCGGCUAAUUACGUGCCAGCAGCCGCGGUAAUACGUAAGGUCCGAGCGUUGUCCGGAAUCAUUGGGCGUAAAGGGUACGUAGGCGGGUAAGCAAGUUAGAAGUGAAAUCCUAUAACUCAACUAUAGUAAGCUUUUAAAACUGCUCAUCUUGAGGUAUGGAAGGGAAAGUGGAAGUCCUAGUAUAGCGGUGAAAUGCGCAGAUAUUAGGAGGAAUACCGGUGGCGAAGGCGACUUUCUGGCCAUAACCUGACGCUGAGGUACGAAAGCGUGGGUAGCAAACAGG